This 622-nucleotide ribosomal RNA is filed under the name uncultured archaeon. RNAcentral describes it as "bacterial SSU rRNA". It matches the Rfam family "Archaeal small subunit ribosomal RNA", at positions 141 to 762 of the family's 1478-position model. The record is from RNAcentral.
UGAGGAUAAUACCGGAUAGGGAACAAUGUGUGGAAUCCUAUUGUUCCAGAAAGCUUAGGCGCUUCACGAUCGGUCGGCGGCCCAUCAGGUAGUUGGUGAGGUAAUGGCUCACCAAGCCUAAGACGGGUAGGGGCCAUGAGAGUGGUUGCCCCGAGAAGGUCACUGAGAUACUGGACCUAGCCCUAAGGGGUGCAGCAGUCGCGAAAACUUCGCAAUGCGCGGAAGCGUGACGAGGGGAUUCUGAGUGCUUACGGUUAAUCCGUAGGCUUUUCGUUAGGGCAAAUACCUAGCGGAAUAAGUGGUGGGCAAGACUGGUGCCAGCCGCCGCGGUAACCCCAGCGCCACAAGUGGGAACCACGCUUAUUGGGUCUAAAGCAUCCGUAGCCGGUCCGGCAAAUGCCCUGUGAAAUCGUUGCGCUCAACGUAACGACGUGCAGGGUAGACUACCAGACUAGGGACCAGGGGAGGGAGACGGUAUUCCUGAGGGAGCGGUAAAAUGUGAUAAUCUCAGGAGGACCACCGAUGGCGAAGGCAGUCUUCCAAAAUGGAUCCGACGGUGAGGGAUGAAAGCUAGGGGAGCGAUCCGGAUUAGAUACCCGAGUAGUCCUAGCCGUAAACGCUG